RNAcentral lists this ribosomal RNA (468 nucleotides) under uncultured bacterium. RNAcentral describes it as "partial 16S ribosomal RNA". It matches the Rfam family "Bacterial small subunit ribosomal RNA", at positions 28 to 507 of the family's 1533-position model. The record is from RNAcentral.
GACGAACGCUGGCGGCGUGCUUAACACAUGCAAGUAGAACGGAAAGGCCCUGCUUUUGUGGGGUGCUCGAGUGGCGAACGGGGGAGUAUCACGCGAGUAACCUGUCCUUGGUUGUGGGAUAAAUUCAGGAAAAAGGGGCUCAUAUCGCACAGGAGCUCCUGCUGCAUGGUGGGGGUUGGAAAGUUUCGGCGGUUUGGGAGGGACGUGAGGCAUAUCAGCGUGUUGGCGGGGUAGUGGCGUACUAAGGCUUCGAGGGGUAGCCGGCCUGAGAGGGUGACCGGCCACAUUGGGACUGGGAAAGGGGCAGGACUCAUACUGGGGGCAUCGGUGGGGAAUAGUGCACAAUGGGCGGAGGCCGUAUGGAGCAACGCCGCAUGGUAGAUGACGGCCUUCGGGUUGUAACCCGCUUUCGCCUGUGACGAAGCGUGAGUGACGGUAAUGUGUAAAGAAGCACCGGCUAACUACGUG